This 307-nucleotide ribosomal RNA is filed under the name Rhizoecus gracilis. RNAcentral describes it as "partial 28S large subunit ribosomal RNA". Lineage: Eukaryota; Metazoa; Arthropoda; Insecta; Hemiptera; Pseudococcidae. The record is from RNAcentral.
AAACCGUUCGGGGGUAAACGGACAGAGCCCGUGAAUCCGGGCGGCAGAAUUCAGAAUCGAUGGCCGUAAAAAAGUCGUCGGUUUAAUAUUUCUGCCGCCGCCUUCACUCGGACGUCGCGACCCGUUUGGUGUCGGUCUUAGGAGCCGCGUUUCAAGUUCGNAGCCGCGUCGCUUUCGGGCGUCGCGGUUGCGAGGGCGCGGUUUACUUUCCGGCUGACUAGCCAGACGGUACGCUACUGGNGACGGUCGUGGCCUUUUGCGCCGCGACUCGUACCGGUCUGCGACGAAUUUUCGGGCCUCUUUCCNA